RNAcentral lists this transfer RNA (87 nucleotides) under Rickettsiales bacterium. RNAcentral describes it as "tRNA-Leu". It matches the Rfam family "tRNA". From Rfam's summary of the family: Transfer RNA (tRNA) molecules are approximately 80 nucleotides in length. Lineage: Bacteria; Pseudomonadati; Pseudomonadota; Alphaproteobacteria; Rickettsiales. The record is from RNAcentral.
GCGGAUAUGGCGGAACUGGUAGACGCGCUAGUUUCAGGUACUAGUGAACGCAAGUUCAUGGAGGUUCGAGUCCUCUUAUCCGCACCA